GUGUAGAGUCGUCAGUCAUUGGAAGCGAUCGAGACAGUCGUGAGGGGUUUGUUGGAGCGCUUCAGUCCUACUCCGGCAAGAUGUGCUACGAGGAUCGGGAGCGGUAACACCACGAUACAAGUCCAUAUCCGUCUAGAUGCACGUCGGUGAUGAAAGGGAAUAAUCAAAGUUGAAACUUCAUUGUUUGACCUCAUUAUAUAUAUACGGAGCGCGAUUAAAGAGACACACGCGAUAAGCUAGGCAUCUACACCGCUACUUCCACCACUGCCGCUUGCCGCCACUGCGGUGACGCUGCCACUUGGGGUACCUGACGUUCCACGAGGGCUGGUAGGGGCCGUAUACGUGAGGGUUGUUCACGUACCUCCUGACGGUCCCGUCGUAGCCGCCGUGGAGCCACCCGCUCACGCAAAGGCUGCCUACGGUCACGUGCAUGACGCCAUAGGGUGGAUCACCAGCAGCCUUGACUUGCCUCUCGUCCGUAUGCGACGACGUACGAAGAAAAAGGACUACUUAUUACUAUACAACUACUGCAAACCAGCUCAUCCUAUGACUGGAGGAAGUGACAGUGAGGGUUUAUUACGAGGACAAAGAAACUGUGAACACGAAGCCACGUGGGAACAUUUGUAUUCCUGCCGACUCUAAUGUACUAUUGGUUUCUCGGCUGCACUUAACUACACUAAUAUAUGGAAACAUCGCUAAAAGAGGAAAGAAGGAAAGAAAAAAACAAACAAGUUUGUCAAAACAAGCCAAAAAUAAAAAUAAAAAGAAAUAACAAAAGAAUAAAAGACAAGGAAAAAACAAAAGGAAAAAAGAAAACGUUACACGUUUGAAAAGUUAAAACGGAAAAGAUGUUUAGUUAUUCGAAAAUUUUUUUUAACACUUGUAAAAAAGUUUUAACCACUUGAAAAAUUUUUAAGCACUUGUAGAAAAAUUAUAGCUACUUGUAAGAAAUUUUGACUACUCGGAAAAGAUUUGACUUACUUAAAAAAGUUUCAACCACUUGAAACAAAAAGUUUUAGUUAUUUGAAAAAGGUUUAGGAAUUUGUAAAAAAGGUUGUAGGCACUAAAAAAAAGAUAAGUACCAUAAAAAGUAAAACACUUGUAAAACGUUUAGGUGCUUGUAGAAAAGUUUAGGUACUUGAAAAGGUUUUUCUACUUGGCGAACAACUUUAAGUAACCAAUUACCAGUUGAACAGCAGGUCCUGUUGGUACUUCUUCAUAAAAACCAACUUGGUGCUUCUUCUCUAGUCCGCGUAAGAGGAGUGUUCGCUGCCGACUAGCGAGCACAUCAAACCGGCCGGGGUACUUUCCACCACACGCUCACGACGCAGGUGAUUGAUCGCGUCGUUCGCGACUGAUCCUCGAGGGUGAUAUGUCCUUCAUCGCAGUGUGUUUGACCGUGUGUGUGGAGAGGCAGGAGCCGAACCGGGUAAAUAAAGAAAAGGAAAAAAUUGGAAGUUUUUUAUCCACGUACUUAAUCUUACGAUUGAUAACUGGAGAACCUAAUGAAGGGCUUGGAAAAGUUAAACAUCUAACUAAUUCCACCUCGAAUUACAAGAACAAAAGUUAAAAAAAAGUGUUUAACUUCCACAAACAUAAAGUUUUUUUUUUUAUCUAUUAACAAAACUUUUCAUGCACCAAACGGACAGAUGGAUCAUCCACCUGUAAGGGAUCUAAACAACUAACUAGCACCAACUCGAAGAGUGGAAUUGUCAUUAAAGAGGGAGCCGCAUAAAGAACUUCCCGGCGGCAUCUAGAUAAGGCGGAUCCACGGUCCUACGAAACCUUUCUAAAAACAUGGGUUGAUGAACGGAUAGAGCCGGAGCUCCUCCCGCCAGCCCGAAGAGCCGGGUGAGCGUGGAUCUAUCGUGCGACAGGAACCGGAGGAGCAGAUCGAGACCUUCGUUCAACUUGACUAAUCGGGGUUGGAAAGAUUCUAACAGUAGUUCAAGGACGAGUCGGGACUCCGCGAGCUGGAUAGGAAGUAAUUCACGUAAGACAAGCCUAAAUUCGGUGACCCUGAAAAAGAACUACGAAAACAGGCACAACCGGUUAGCAGACACCUUAUAACGCUCGUCUCCAUGGAGUUCCCCAAGGAACUUCUCUAGAAUAAGUAGACCGGGCUCCGAAGAUAGAAGGAGCCUGAGACCGUACAUCAACGAUAGGAGUCCCAGUAGAAGCAGGGCAACUAGUAUAGUAGCAGCAACAACAGUAACGGUCGCAAGACCAACAACCUCAGCAGGACUCGCCGUGAUAACAGCCCUCAUAGAAGUUAACCGGUCUAUUCCAGUACCUUUUUUUUUAACCCACGUAAGUUCCUACAGCUCUUUGUUGUACGAGCAUCUAGCCCGGAGGAUCGGAUGGGUUUGUGGGAGACAAGUUUUACCAGAUAAAAACAUGUAUGAACUUUACUGGUGUUUAAAAAGUACGUCCACCCGUACGGGUACCACUCGUAUCUACGGUCCAAACUAACUAAAGGCUGUGGUAUACGUUCAACGCUGUGCAGGCUGGGUAAAUAGUGAGAGAAAAAAUAGGCCCUUUUGAGCUGUUUUACACUUUAAACAUCGUUUUUGUUGAACCGUACCGCCGAACUUAACCAGUAUGUUCCAGUACUAUUUUUUUACCUUGGUAAAAUUCUAACCGCUCUUUGCCGCACGAGAAUCUGCCUCAGAGCACCGGAUGAAUCUGUGAGAGGUGACUUGUACCGGAUGAAAAUCGGUAAAAAAUUUACUGAGGUUGAAAACGUUCCUCCAACCGUACGGGUAGCAUCCGUAGGUACGGUCCAAACUUGUUAAAGGUUGUAGCAUACGUUCAACACUGUACGUGUCGGUAAAUAGCCGGAAAGAACUGUUUCACUUGAGGUAUUUUACAUUUUUAAAUAGCUUUUGUUUUUGUUGAACCGUACCACAGAUUUUAAUCAAUAUGUUUCGGUACGUUUUUGAAUCCCGAAUUUCUUAUACCUUUCUGUUGUACGAGAGUGUGACUCACAAUACCGGAACACCGGGUGGACUUAUGGGAAGUAACUUGUACCAGAUGAAAACGUGUAAAAAAUCUACUGGGGUUGAAAAGUUCGUGCACCCGUACUGGUACCAUCCUUAGGUACAGUCCAAACUUAUGAAAAGCUGCGUUAUACGUAGAUCUGUAAAAUAGCUAGAAAAAACUGGUUCCUUUGACGUCUUUUGCGUUUUAAACAGAUCUUGGCUUGUUGAACCGUACCACCGAAGUUAAUCAGUAUAUUCCAGUACAUUUUUAUAUCACAGGUAAAUUUCUUACAGCUCUUUGUUGCACGACAGUGUGUUUCGGAGGACUGGAUAGGCUUGUGGUAGACAAGUUGUAACAGAUAAAAACCUGUAAGAAUUUGCCUGGGGUUGAAAACGUUCGUCCGCCCGUACGGGUACCAUCCGUAAUAUGAUCUAAACUUGCUAAAGCCUGUGGCAUACGUUCAACGCUGUGCAGAUCGGUAAAUAGUGGAAAAAACUGGCCCUUUUGAGGUCUUUUUCGCUUUAAACAUCUUUUGGUUUUGUGUAACAAGGAACUUAACCCGUAUGUUCGUUUAUUUUUUUUACACUUGUAAACUCUCUACAACUCUUUGUUGUACGAGAGUUUGCCUCAGAAAAACGGAUGGGGCUGUGGGAUGUAACUUGUACCACAAAAAAGAUGUGUCUAUGUUUUUUACAAACCCCUUUAAGUCCUUUUUUUACAAGUUAAAAAGCAAACCUUAAGGUAUAAACAAUCACAGAAAUUCUUUUACAAAUACAAGUAUUAAAGCCAGUGAGAAAUUUUUCUCAAAGAGUAAAACUGUAAGGCUCGUUAAAACUUUCUGCGUUUGAAAAAUUACUUUAAAAACGUGUUAAAAAUUUCACACUUGUUAACAUAAAAUACUUGUUUUAAACUUUGUUACUAGUAAAAAGCUUUAAGACUUGUUCAAAAAUAUUCACGCUCGUAAAACAACUUUUUCUUGUUUUUUCCUUUUGGCUUUUGUACAGUUUCCUUGUUUUCUGUUUAUCAUUUGGCCAACGACCCACUAUAUAAAAGUAAAGAUAAAAAGUUCAAAUAAAAAUAAAAAUUAUCUUCAAGUCUUUAAAGUCUUUACAAGGGCAAGCUUCUUUGUAAAUGAUAACAGUUUUUCUUUUCUGUACGCUUUAAAUUUGUUUCCAAAUUAGAAAGCACUGAAUAUACAAGUAUAUUUCACACGACGUUAAUGCCGAUUGUUUAGUCUACGCGACGGCACCGAUGACAGCAAUGCGCGCGAGUGGGUAAAAUAAAUAACGCUUUAACCAAACGCCGAAAGAAAUCAGAGAUGAGGAUUACUUCGUCAACCAUCAGAGGUGGCCAGUUAAAAGCAGGGUGGUGAAAGCAGGCCAAAAAAAAGCAUCCAAUUGGAAAGAUCUAAAAAAAACCAAGGCAGGUGGCGGAGGGGAGGCGACCAAAAUGGCAGCGCUGUCUUGGUUAGGGAGCGAUCGGGAUGGAGCAGAGGGCAGAGGUCAAAGAAACGUACGUAACCCCUUCCCUUCCCUUCCCUUCCGUUCUCUUCCCUUCCCGCUCCCUCGCGGGUCUAGGUGCCGCCGCAGUCGCGCGGCAGCAGCUGGACUAGGCGCAGGCAGGAGCUCCCUCCAGCCGGUACCUCCAGGUUGGGGCGGGCCGUCGUCGGUACCUGCCUGCCUCUGCGGGUUUGGGAUGGGAGUUCCUGCUGCGGAGUUGGAAGUUCCUGCGCGCGGCCGCUGGCGCCUAGAGGCCACUGCCGAUACCACUCCCACAUAGACGCCUGCAAGAAGGAGCCUAAGUAGUAGAGGGGGACGAGCACUAAGGAAAGAACCAAAGAAAAGAAAACACACGUCCUACUGACGGGGCCUAGAUCUGCGUGUUGGACGUCGACGUCGUCGUCGACCUGCUGGCUUGCGUGCUCCUGCCUGCGCCUAAAAUUCACAUGCACUUGCGUUAAGAGGGCAGGGGACGGGAGGAGCGCUAGACGGCUGCAGGAGCGCGACGGCAGGAGAAGAGGGGCUAGAGGAGAUGGCACCGCGGGAGCGCUAGGAGAACUGCACAGGAACGCAGCGGAAGGAGAAGAGGGGCUAGAGGAGAUGGUCCCCCCGAGGAGACACUGGGUCCGCGACCGGCUGCAUGAGGAGGCGCCGGAGUGCGGGACGGCGGCUGCUCCUCUGUCGGACUCCUUCUAGGGAACCUUCUGUCCAAACCUGGUUGGGCACUAGGGGAACUAAGAAGAGAAUGAUGUCCGGCUAUACUUGUGUGCAGCAGGUGUCUAAUGUGUUCAGGAGCUUACGUACGUGUCUAAUGUGUUCAGGGGUUACGUACGUGUCUAAUGUGUGGUGUUUGAGACGAGAGAAGAGGAGGGAGAUCCAAACCCACGUUCCUAUCGGAUCCCCACCACCAAGAACCCCUUUAAAUUUCGAACCCGGAAAUACCUCAUCCUGGCUAGAUGUCGAAAUCCUCAUCGACGAAAUCUAACCACAAGUACAUGUCCAACGAUAAACUCUUAUAUGAUACAUGACCAGUUUAGAGUUUUGUUUACCGGGUAAGACUGGUAUUGAUGAGGUUUUCGUAUCUAUCCGAAAAAUUUGUAGUUCUAAAGACUUAUAACUAGAGUCGUCAUAGGUUUUAGGUUUACCGACACAAACAAGUCUAAAAGGAGUAAAAAUACAAGAAACUUAAUUUCAUCACGAACUCCAAUUAUUACUCACUAACAACCAUUGAAUCGAUCGAGGACUAUUAUUAAACACUAUAAAAAAUAAAAUAAAACUUGUUUCUUAUUAAACACUAUAUCGAACGAGGAUAUACACAGUAACUGUUGCAACGAACACCUCUCGUUAUUCCUAAAUAGAUCGAGUACAUACAGACUCGGACUCUGCCUCUCCUGCUGCCAGCACCGAGGUAACUACUACCACCAGCGCCGCGUAUCGGCAUGCUUACCUGUCGUCUGUUCGGUUCGUGAGGGACCUUUAGCGACACUAAGACCUUGUCCACCGCCCAGGGACGGGGAUGGCGGGUACUUCGACUGCUACUAGUACACCGGUAACACGUCGACGACGCCUCCCCCCGUCGCCCUCUGCACAUCCGCUCUUGGGCGUGCCGCCUCCUUCCUUUGCGGAGUCCACCUGUACUGCUGCUACCAGCACCGAGGUAGCGACCGCCGUCAGUCCUGUACGUCGACGUGCUGAUCUGUAGUCUGUCCAGUUCAGCAAAGCCCCUCAACAAACGAAACCACCACGAGAACCCAAAUGCUAAAGUUAUUUUAGGAUGCCGCCUUGCCUUCCAAUUACAAUAAAGAGACUAUAGUGUGUCAUAGAAGAACCGAGUUCAUAACUCUUUCAUUGUGACAGCGUCUAGAUAAAUGAAUCAAACGGUUCGACCACUUUUAUAAACCACCACGAGAACCCAAAUGCUAAAAUAUCAGUAUCGAUCGAAGAAACCAAAUGAACCAGGUACAUCUCGAGCUUAGAGUCACGAUGUGAAAGUUGGCCGAACGAAACUUUUAGUUCAUUUUGACUUUUUUUGUCUCCAAAGUUAACGUCGUGACGUCUAGAGACCUCAUUCGUUCUUAUCGACUGACAACAAAGAAUAAAAAGAAGUAUUAAA
RNAcentral lists this ribosomal RNA (6594 nucleotides) under Triticum aestivum (bread wheat). RNAcentral's name for it is "partial small subunit ribosomal RNA". Lineage: Eukaryota; Viridiplantae; Streptophyta; Magnoliopsida; Poales; Poaceae. The record is from RNAcentral.